CGCUCGCUCUCUCUCUCUCUCUCUCUCUCUGUGUGUGUGUUUGUGCGUGCGCGUACAUGUGUGUUUUUAAUAAAUGCCUUGUAAUGUAGUAGGGCUUGGUUAGCACAGAUUUGGCUGCACACAGGUGCACACAACAUAAUCCCAGAACAUGGCUUUAAAGAAGGAUCUCUUGCGAGACAUCCAGAAGCGUUUUAACAGCCUGAAAGUUGAAGAGGAUAAAGAAGAGACAGUAAUUCUGAGAGAACGUGAGGACAGUAUUGACAUCCGAUGUACAGGCUUUCCUGAUUUCUCAGAGGACUUCCGUCAGAUUGUUAAAGCUGGCUGGCUAGAGAAAACUCCUCCAAAAGGGUAAGAAACAACUUAUAUACAAUUUAUAUAUCUUCUACGACUUUUCUGACAU
This 400-nucleotide long non-coding RNA is filed under the name Sinocyclocheilus anshuiensis. RNAcentral's name for it is "lncRNA (ENSSANG00000004325.1)". Lineage: Eukaryota; Metazoa; Chordata; Actinopteri; Cypriniformes; Cyprinidae. The record is from RNAcentral.